CCCACCCACGCCCCCGCAACCCGGGGACAGCGGGAGGGUCUCCGCAGCUGUAGACGCCGUGUCGCUAGUCAGAAGAGUGCUUGGAAAUCUGUGGCUGGUGGUCCAGAGAGGGUAGGCUAUUGAAACAAAGUCACACAGCGCUGGCCGCGUUGGCGCGGGAACUUGGAACCUCAGGCUAUGGGAGAGGGCCGGCAGGAACCUGUGUUGACUCUCGCUGCAUCUUGGAGGAAGGAAACUGAGCCCCACAGAGGACGAGACCAUCCUGGGUCACAUCGCGGGGAGUCAGAAGACCCCUCCCGCUUUGGGCUCCUGUCUCUGUGAAUGGGUGCCCCCUCCUGGUGACCCGUUUCCUGCAGAACCCUCUCCCACGUGCCCUCUGGUCUCAAGCAGUACUAGGGUUAAAAACAGUCUCUGGAGUCAGGUAGCGGGGAUGGCGAUAGGCUGAGUACCUGUCCUGCCUCUCCUGAGGCUUUGUGACCACAGACUGCCUUUCUCUGAGCCCCAUUUUCUCCACCUGUAAAAUGGGACAACAGGAGUAUCUAUUGCCAACCUGAGUAAAGAAACCAAACAGAUAAAGAUUGUAAGUAAGCUCUUUGAUGAUGCCAAGCAUUCAGUAGAUGUCAAAUGCAUGUGCCUGUCUCCCCUGGCUCCCACACAGAGCCAAGGCUGGAAAACACCAGUUGAACACAGAAGAGUUAGGACAAUGUUAAUGGGUGACAUUUAAGGUUCCUCACAGCCCUUUUCCCAAUCUCAUCCACCACCUGCCCACCUGUUCACAACCCCAUCCAGACAGACUGUUCCAGUGUCCAGCCUCUGCCUUUACCUGGCCUGCGUGGCCUUCCAUCCUCUAUCUAACAAACUCCUACUCGUCCACCCAGACCCCAGGGAUCAGUUUCUCAUACUGUCAACUGGUCCAUCCAUGUCUGUCUUCUCAGGAACAUGUCCCCUCCCCCAGUGUCUGUGCUGUUUUGCUCUGUCUUCCGGGCUCUGGCAACUGUGAAGAGAGUGUGCUCAGAGGAGAUGGCAGGACCUAUGCUGCUCAAGAGGACUUCCUGGCAGAGGUGAAGCUUCUGCAAAGCCUCCAAGAAGAAGGGAGUUUGGGGUCCUCAGGAGAAAGGAGAGUAUGUGACGGGAGAAAAGGUGGCUGUGGGUUUGGGCAGGAUGCGAGCAAUGAGGAGUGUGGGCUACAUGGAGCAGUGGGAGAACUUUCUCCACUGAGCUGGGGGCCAUGGAGAGCCAGGACAGCCAAGGGCUGGACAGUGACCUGGAACAGUAUGGUCAGGUCGAAGAUGAGCAGGCAUUGCCCCCUAGAUAAAGAGCUCUAGGAGAGUCCGCACAGAUAUCCAUAGCAGCGCCAUUUGUAGUAGCCGGAUGCAGCCUGACCGCCCAUCAGCUGUGAAUAGUGAUGACCAGACACUGGAAAACUUUCCACUCCACUGUCUCCAGAGCAGGUGAGCACAAGCCGCACAAACCCGUGAGGAUUAAAUCCCAAAACCACACUGUUGAUUCAGCUUGUGGAAAUUCAGUGUUGUACACUUGUGUUUAGAGUACCCUUUGUCUCAAUUUUCUACUUCAGUUUUUUAAAAUAAAAAUUAGAUAUGAAAAGAGUAAGUUGAAGACAGAAAGCCCAGUUUGAUGCCAGAUGUAUAAAGUCUGCACACAUGCAACACAAUACGAUUUCUUACACAGGGACCCAUACAUGUGCAAUACGGGUGUAAGAGCACUCACAGGCGCGAUAAAUAGCAAAUCCAGGACAGUUUGCCCCUGAGGGAAGAGGGGAGGGAGGGAACGUAAUAGGGGUUUCAAACGUGCUUGAAAUGGCUUAUUUCUUAAGCUGGGUGGUGGAUACAUGGGUGUUUGUUAUGCAGUUCUCUCAUCUUUUUUGUGAAAUAUUUAUAUUGUGAUGAUACUGUUUUUCUUUAAGUCAGUGCCUGGAAAGGCAAUGGGGAGCCAUUGCUGGUUCUUGAACAGUGGGGCCUCAGGGUCAGUGGAUUGGAAGAGGCAGGAUUAGAAAAGGAUGGUUGUGGAAGGCUGGUGUGACAGUCCAGGGGAGAGGUGCGGAGGACUAAGUGGGAGUAAGAACAGGGUCAUGGGAGGUGGAUAAGGAUGGGAGAGAAAUAAGCAUUGGCCUUAUUUAGGCAAGGGUCACAAACCUAAAUGCUUGGACAGGAUAGGAGCAUGAAGUAGUGGGGACUGUGACACUCUGCACCAGCUAAUUAUUGCCAUGUAAGAAAGAAGGCCCAGCUGGGCAUGGCAAUGCAUGCCUCCUUUAAUCCCAGCAGCUUGGGAGGCUGAGGCAGGAGCAAGACAAGUUGGAGGCCAGGCUCAGCAACUUAGUGAGACCUUGUUUCAAAAAAUAAAAAGAAGCUGGGGAUGUGACUCAGUGGUAAAGUGCUCCUGGGUUCAAUACUUAGUACCAAAAAAGGAAAAAGAAAAAAGGCCCAGGGAGGCCACAUCUCAAUUUUUCAAGAGAAACCAGUAACUCCUACUUUUCAAAUGCAAAUGGAAAAUUAUGGCAGAUAGUUGAAAAACACUUCCUAGGACCAUCCUGAACCGGUUUGCAGUCUCUUCAGUGAGGCUGAGCUUUCCUGCCUGUGAGGCUGGGGAGGCUCACAGCCCGGGCAGCAGUCAGGGAGGGCUUCCUGGAGGAACUGGCGCGGGGUGGUGCAGGGGGAAGGUGCUUCAAGCUGAGAGAACAGCACUUGCAAAAAAGCAGGAUUGAGCCAAGUAGCCCUAAAGAAAGAAGGAACAGAGAACAGGCAGAGGUGGUUCACAGGGAGGAAACCUGCCAGUCACAGCGUGAGCAGCACCUGACCUCAUCAGCCAUCAGGGAAAUGUCACCCAACGCCACAGUGAGACGCCGGCACCCCAAGCCACGGUGAAAAUGACGAAAUCCAAGUCAGCGUUUUUAGGCAGCUUUUUCAUUGCUGUAACCAAAAACCCUAACGAGAACAACACAGAGGAGGGAAGCUUAUUUGGGGCUCCCGUUUCAGAGGCUCAGUCCAUAGAUGGCUGCUGUUGCUCUGGGCCCCAGCCAAGGCAGCACACCGUGGCAGGGGGCAUGUGGAGCAAAGCUGCGCAGGGCAGGCAGCCAGGAAGCAGAGAGCAUGGGCAGGGGAGAGUGCGGGCAGGGACAAAAUACAACCCCCAGGGGCACACCUCCAGUGACUGGCUUCUUGCAGCCACACUCUGCCUGCCUGUAGUCACCGCACACUUGAUCCCGGUGAGUGGCGCAGUCCACUGAUUAGGUCAAGGUCCUCGUAACCUGACCAUUUCAUCGUUUCACCUCGGAACAUUCUUCUUCUUCUUUUACUUUCUUCUAGUUUUUUUCUUUAUUGGCAAUGCUGGGACUCAAACCCACAGCCUUGUGCAUGCUAGGCAAGCACUCUACCACUGAGCUAUGUCCACAGUCCCCUCACCUCUGGACAUUCUUACAUUGUCUCACACAUGAGCUCUUGAGGGACACCUCAUACCUAAACCAUAAUAGUCAGACAGUACCCAAAGCCGGUGAAGUGUAGCCCCAUGGCAGCCUUAACAUACUGCUGAUAGAGGGUGCGCUGGCACACCCACUAGACCCCACAAUUCCUGUUUUUCAAACUUUAAUGUGCAGGUGAUCCCACAGGGGCCUUGUGAAAAUGCAGAUUGCUAUUACAUGGGUCCAGAGCAGGACCUGAGAUUCUGCAUUUCUAACAAGUUCCCAGGGAUUGCAGGGCUGAUGAUCCUUGGACCACAUUUUACACAGCAUUAGGAAAAAUGCACAGGAAUAGCCCUAGCAGCACUUUUUGUAAUAGGAGAAGACCUGAAAACAACCCCAUGAUCAAUUGACAGGAAAAUAAAUAAGUAAAUAGUGGUAUAGUCGCACACGGCUCUUAAACAACUAAAUCAUAACUCUUCACAACAUAGACAUGCUGAUCAACAUAGCAUUGAGUUUUACAAAAGGAUCAUAUGUGGUAAGCGCCUUUUAAUAUGAAAUGAAUAAACAAAUUAAAACAAAUAACAUAUUAUUUAGGUGUUUGUACAUGUACUAAAACUAGAAAUAAGGAAACCAGAGAAGGAUAAACUUAAAAUUCAGUUUAAGAGAGUGCUGGGGAUGGGGACAGCACGGAGGAGAUAUCAGGUAUCAGUUCUGUCCUAGCUUGCGGGGUGGGCAGCACCUCCGGGCGCUUGUAUUUUUCACAAUCUUGCAUCACAUACGUUGGGCCAUGUGUGGACCAAGGCUGAGAGCAUAUCGUGAACCAAAGGCUCCGAUUAGCUCAAUUAUGUUUAUCCAAGAUCUGUACUUAACAGAGAGGCAGAGACUCAAAGAGAGAUGGAAAGGGCUGGGGCUGGGGCUCAGUGGCAGAACACUUGCCUAGUACGUGGGAGGCGCUGGGUUCAAACCUCAGCACCACUUUCAAAAAAGAGAAAAGGAGGGAGGGAGGAAGGAAGGAAGGAAGGAAGGAAGAUAUUGUGUCCAUCUACAACUAAAAACAUUUAAAGAGAGAGAAAGAGAGAGAGACACUAAGAUAGGGAGAGAGUGGACUGUGGGCAUGGACCGUGUGGGAAAAGGUGAUUAAACACUAGCAUGGCCUGGCGAUCAGGGGCAAUCAGGCCUCUGAGGGAAGUUAGGUGCAGAAGUUGUGGCACUAGGGGACAUUUGCUGACCCAACCCAGAGGCAGGUAGGGAGCCAGUGUGGUGGGAAAAGUCUGUGGUGCCAGGGGCCUCCAGGGGUCUCCUCCAGUCCUGCCACAAACCUGCCAGCUCAGACCACGCUGGUGCCAGAGCUGCAGGCUUCAUGAAGGACCCCAAAAGAGGACAGAAUAACUGAUCCAAACCAGAAAAUUGUCCUAGUGGAGAAAGUCCCCUUGGCAGCAGGUAACAUCCUGCCCUUGAAGACGACUAACUCUGGUAAUGACCAUUCUAGGUAAUGAUGAGACCUGGUUUGUACCAAAACAGAUACACCCAGGUCAGUCGAGACAAAUCUAGGGAGUGGCCAGCCCCAGCACUGUCCUCUGGAUCAGUCAUAUAUCUGGACAGGCUGGGCCAGCUCCCCCAGGACACAAAGAGGAAGGCGCUCACAGGCUGUCCUGGGCUCAAGGUCCCUGUAGGGAGCAUCCUGCUCCAGUCUGCUCCUUUCCAUCCAUCCUUCACACCAGUCCCAGAGACAGCUUUCUGGCACAGUUUGGACUGUCUUCCCCUGCGUGGAGCCCUGCAUUGCCUCCCCAGCACCUGGGGAUUUACUCUGAGCUCCUUGGUCUGGUGUUCAAAGCUCUUCACCAUUUGGCUUUUUCACUGUGUCCUAACUCAGUUCUGGUCUAAUCCCCUGACUCGGGUACAGGCUCUGCAGUGUCUCCCAAAGACAACGAGCUAUUUCACACUCAGCCUUUACUAGAAUGCCUCUUCCUCCAUUGCUCAGUUGCCUUUCAAAGUCAACUCCAUUGUCAUCUACUCUGAGGAAAUCUCUGACUUCUGUGUUCCACUCCCAUUCCCAAAGUACUUUACCAUGACAAAGAAUCACCACGUGUCAAGCACCAUAUAGCACUUGGCUUCUGGUGCCUGCCUUGGAUUCCAGCUGAGCUGGUAGACAGCUUUCCAAACACUGGCCCACUGCAGGUGCCCCCCACAUUGUUCUGCUUGUCUGCCUGACAGCUUUUCCUGAGGUUGCUGGAGGUGGCCCAGCCCAAGCUCAAGGCAGCUUGAAAAUGCAGGCAAGUGAACACCCCCAGAAGAACCUUCCAUCACUUCCUGGGAAUGGAAGUCAUGGGCAAAUGCUCAGCCUCCCAGCCUUCAGGGAGAUAGUUUUGGGGGUGUUCACCACUGUUCCUCAGAAGGUGCCCAGCUGGAUGGUGUCCAGCUGCCCACACUGGUCACCUGCUCACUAGUGAGCACUCACUUCCUGACUUUCUCUCCUCCCAUCUCAUUCUUUGCACCCUUUCUCUGCUGCUUCCUAGGAUCACUUCCCGAAUAAACUAUCUGUGCAUCUCGAAGUUGCUUUUGGGGGACCCAAAUUUAGACACACCUGUUUGCUUUCAUUGUUCCCACAAGACUGGAAGUAGCUCCUUGAAGUUCAGGGUCACCUCAAGUUCUUCUCCAGUUGUGGUGUUUGACAGUCUGGGUUGCUCCAUGACAGUGCCCCUUGUCUCUGUGGCACCUUACACCCACAGGCUCAGCCAAAACGGUAGACCAUCUCAAGUGGUUGUUAGUGAGGCCUGUCCUAGGCGGAGGGCGAGGCAGGGCUUGCCCCUCCCUUCCUUCUUCCCUGUGUUUUUCAAAUGUUCCAAGUGUUCAUAUCUAUUCCUCUGCUUUGUUUUGCUUUGUUUUCACAGUGUGGAAGGAGUGUGGGCUCUAGAGUGAACGGGCCUGGAAUCAGAUUUUGGCUCUGCACAACUGGCUAUGAUUGGGUGCACAUUACCCAACCUCACUGAGCCUCAGUUUCCACAUGUGGGAAAUGGACAUAAACACAAACCCCUGCUUGACAGAGUGGCUGUGACUUAUAAGAUGAAGCACUUUGUAAACCCUGAAGUGCGUUGCAAGGCUGAGUUAUCCUUAUCCCUGGGGCUGGCACUAGGCCUGGCAUGGAGGAGGUGCCUGAAAAAUGUUUGGAGAACAAACUGAUUGAAGCUAGGAAUGGAAAUCCCACAGUGUUCCUUAUCUCAUUCAUUCACUCACUCACUCAUUCAUUCAGGGCUCACUUGGGGCCAAGCCCGUGCUGAGUACUGGCAAAGCAGAGUUGUGUGAGGAACAUCUCUGGCCUAAGGGAGACUGUGAUCUUCAGAGUGGACCACGAGAACCCAGCCUCGUGGAGGGGCCCUGGAUGAACCUCCAGAAUAGAAAGAAGUGAAGCCUGGAAGCGCAAGAUGAGCCUGAUGAGCAAGGGGAGGACGGAGAGGAUAGCUCAUCACAAGGGCGUGAGCAGGGACCCGGAGGCCAGAAUGGGGCACCCACAGACCACAACUGCAAGCUCGUGGAGGUGAAGGUUUACAAAGAGCUGCCAGUUCACAAUUUCCCUGGAACUUUCUAAAGACCCUGUGAAGGUUGAAUAAAAGAAGUGUCAUUUUUCUCAGAGGGAAAACUUGAAGGUCAGAGAGUGGUGAUAACUGACCCACUCGUCCUCCAAGAAGGGGAGGAGCAGGUAUUCUGCCCUGAGCCCAAGAUUUUCUCCUGCACCCAAGGAGCCUCCAGCCAUGCAGAGGCUUGCAAGAUGUCCAGGAAAACUGCCAAGCAUGGGGGAGGCUGGGCCUGGAGCAACAGAAUGACCAGCGGCAUGGAGUGGACACGGUCAUUCAAUGAGAGGGCCUUGAGAGACAUAAGGCCAUCACUGGGUGGCACCUCAAGAAACAGUAAGCUUCACGAGUUGAGCCAAAGAGGCUAAAAGUACAUGAUCUGGGAAGUAGAAGGCAAGCCAGAGAGUGAUAUGAGACAGAAGCCAGGGAGGACUGAGCUUCCAGAAGGAGAAAGUGGCCAGCGGCAUUAUGAAAUGCAGACUGUUUCUGUUCCGUCAGCAUCUGGGCCCUUGGGGUAGGGGGCGGUCCAAGGAGACAAUGAAUAUACUUAAUUAUUAUAAAAUUAUGGACAGAGGCCAGGGAUAAUUGUUCUGGUCCUGGCUUUGCCACCUCUCCAGGUGGUCUUGGACAGAUCCUUUUCCCUUUCUACACCCACGUUUUCCCCUCAAUCCAAUAAAAAUUCUCCCAUUUUGGAAACAUCAUUUUAUUCAUUCAAUUAAUUUGAGAAAUAUUCAUUGAGAACCUACUAUAUGCCAGAUAUUGUUAUAAGAAUUUCAGAGACUUCACUAAACGAUAAAGAACUUACCUGCGUGGAACAUGCAUCAAGCCGAGGGGACUGAUCAGUAAGCAAAAAACAUAAGAAGUAAGCGAAUGACAUAGUUUAUUAGAUUGUUACAAAGUUCUUUUUUUUUUUUUAUAGAUCAGGGUAAGAGAAAUAGGGAGUGCUAGAGACAUUGCUGAUUAUUAAUUAUAAUAGAGUAGUCAGGUUGAAUUCACUGAGAAAGUGAUAUUUGAGGAAAAGAGUAAUGGGGAUGUCCUUGCCGAUGUCUGGGGUAAAAGUGUUCUAGAUGGAGGAAGCAGUCAAUGCAAAGCCUGUAAGAUGAGAAAUAAAUCUCCCUUCCUGUAAAAUGCUCGAUUUAAUAAAAAAAAAAAAACUAUGUGGAAAUGGACAAAUCUUAAAGAGAGAAGAGAUACCUUCUUAUGCCAGAAACAAAGCCAGAACACGAGACCAAAGAGAUAAGCCUACACUAACGCUGCAGGAUGUCACGCUUAGGUAACAAGAAGCCCAUGACCAUGUAGGGCGGAGAGCCAAAUGAGCCAGAGAUCACCCCACAUAAAUUAUGGACUCAGGAAAGGCUACACCACUGACAAGAGAGUGGAUUUUGUUGUUUCCGUUGUUUUUGUACUUCCAGCCCUGGAAAUGAACUCAAGGGUGCUUCACCACUGAGCUAAGUCCCCAGUUCUUUUUAUUUUGAGACAGAGUCACUUACGAAUUUUGUUAAGUUACUGAGGCCGGCCUGAACCUGUGAUCCUCAGUCUUCCCAUUUGCUAGAAUUACAGGCAUGUGCAAAGUGCAUGUGCCAGCUAAGGUAGAUUUUGUUUGUUUGUUUUAAAUCCUGCCCCAUGGAGGUAGACAUGUCUAUCUCAGCCUUGGUUUAAGUGGUAUUAAAGAAAAACAAGAAGUUUUUCUGAGAAGUUGUAGAUCUUGAGUGGCCCUCACAUGGAUUCAAGGCCUGAAUUUUAAGUAUUAGUAUUACUCAAAAAAUUUAAGCUGAGAAUUUCAAGUUAAAAUAAACCUGAAAAUUAAGAAAGCCAAAAGUUUGUUCUGUGGCAGGGUGAGGGGGUGGGAGAAAUAGAGACAGAGAGACAGAGGAGAGCAUGGGGACAAAGUCUAAACCUCGAUAGGCAUGGUGGCAUGCCUGUAAUCUCAGAAGUUUGGAAGGCUGAGAUAGGAGGAUCUCGAGUUCAAAACCAGCCUCAGCAAAAGUGAGGUGCUAAGCAACUCAGUGAGACCUUGCCUCUAAAUGAAAAUACAAAAUAGGCUGGAGAUAUGGCUCAGUGGUUGAGUGUCCUUAAGUUCAAACCCCAGUCUCCCCUCAAAAAAAAUUUAAACCUUAAGAAUGAGGAAUAAUCAUCACUACCGAUGCUAUGGAUAUUUAAAAGGUAGUAAGAAAAUAUUAUAAACAGCUUUAUUCCAAAAAUUGAAUAAGUUACUGGAAAAGAUUACAUUCCUUGAAAAAAAGUACUUAAAAAAAGAAAUGAAAAAUCAGAAUAGCCUUAUAAAUCUGUCAAAUUUAUUUCCUGACUCAGUUUAUAAAUUCAGCCUAAGCUUGUAAUUAAGCUGAGGAGGAUAUUACUAGGAAGAAAAAGUAUAAGCCAACAUUUUCAUGAAUGAAGAUGCAAAAAUACUAAAGAAAAUAUUAAUUUAACAAAUCUAAUUAUAAAUAAAAGUGUGAUGUAUCAUGACAAAAUGUAAUUUAUCCCAUGAAUGCAAAGCUAAUUUGCCAUUCAAAAAUCAAUAUAGUGCAACAGAAAGUUUUAAAAAUGAUAAUUUCAGAAGAUGUGGAAAAUUUUUUGGUAACAUUCAACACCCAUUCCUGAAAACAAAUUCUUAGCACCAAGGAAUUAAAGGAGACCUCCUUAAUCUUAUAAAGGGCAUCACAAAACCCUUCCAC
Molecule: non-coding RNA, 9659 nt
Organism: Ictidomys tridecemlineatus (thirteen-lined ground squirrel)
Lineage: Eukaryota; Metazoa; Chordata; Mammalia; Rodentia; Sciuridae
Source: RefSeq, a predicted model, not a curated record